GCAUUGCAAGCCUGGGCCUCGCCUUGGCAUUCACCGUGAGAUGGUGGCUCAACACACAGCUGCUGUUCUGUUGGAGGUGCCGCCGCCGCCGCCUUCGAAGGUAACUGUUGGAGCUGACUGGUUUCUUAAGAAGACUUCUUUCAGCAGGUUUGAAGAUUUGGAUCUUGUGAAACUAAUCUGAGAGAUCAGUGGUUGUUUUGUUAAAUCAGACAAUGUAAUUAAGUUUCUGAAAGCACAUCCUUCAUUCAUAACAGUAUUUUAAGUUACCACUUAUUUGAAUUAUUUUAUCAUUAUAUUACAGAUUUUAAAGCUUUUGAUAUAUUGGAUAUCUAUAUAUGUCAAUAUACUUACUGAAAAACUUAAUUUUGUUUGCUCAUUUUGCUUUUGUUACCGGCUUCCUGCUGCAGUUUGUUCACUUUUACACAUGCUAAAAAUCACGUCCUUAUUAGAAUCAUCAUUAUUAUAGUGUCCAAAAUAUGUUAAAACAUAUAUGGCAUUAAUUUCAUGUUCACAUGUUAUGUAAUAUUAAAGUAUUUUUUGUAGA
Molecule: long non-coding RNA, 544 nt
Organism: Lacerta agilis (Sand lizard)
Lineage: Eukaryota; Metazoa; Chordata; Lepidosauria; Squamata; Lacertidae
Exons: 2
Source: RefSeq, a predicted model, not a curated record